AAGAGAAAUUAGGAAUAAUUCUAAACUUCUAAUUUAGAAAUUGAGGUGUUCGAAUCAUCUCUUCUCUUU
This 69-nucleotide transfer RNA is filed under the name Glycinde armigera. RNAcentral's name for it is "tRNA-Ser". The record is from RNAcentral. Lineage: Eukaryota; Metazoa; Annelida; Polychaeta; Phyllodocida; Goniadidae.